RNAcentral lists this ribosomal RNA (493 nucleotides) under uncultured bacterium. RNAcentral describes it as "partial 16S ribosomal RNA". It matches the Rfam family "Bacterial small subunit ribosomal RNA", at positions 28 to 506 of the family's 1533-position model. The record is from RNAcentral.
GACGAACGCUGGCGGCGUGCUUAACACAUGCAAGUCGAACGGUGAAGCGCCUUCCUUUUUGGUGGGUGUGGAUGAGUGGCGAACGGGUGAGUAACACGUGAGUAACCUGCCCCCUUCUUCUGGAUAACCGCAUGAAAGUGUGGCUAAUACGGGAUAUUCUGGGUCUGUCGCAUGAUGGGUCUGGGAAAGAUAUUGUUUCGGUGGGGGAUGGGCUCGCGGCCUAUCAGCUUGUUGGUGGGGUGAUGGCCUACCAAGGCGGUGACGGGUAGCCGGCCUGAGAGGGUGGACGGUCACACUGGGACUGAGACACGGCCCAGACUCCUACGGGAGGCAGCAGUGGGGAAUAGUGCACAAUGGGCGCAAGCCUGAUGCAGCGACGCCGCGUGAGGGAUGGAGGCCUUCGGGUUGUGAACCUCUUUCGCCAGUGAAGCAGGCCUGCCUCGUUUGUGGGUGGGUUGACGGUAGCUGGAUAAGAAGCGCCGGCUAACUACGU